UUCUCCAAGUCGAUAAGAACUUUGUGCAGGUCCUUCUUCUUAUCCCUGAACUGCUCCACCAGCUCCUGACAAGGUGGAUAGCUUCUGUAGUGGAGCGACCCGGCAUGAAACCAAACUGGUUCACAGAUAUAGAUGUCAUCUCCCUCACCCUCGCCUCGAUCACCCGCUCCCAGACCUUCAUGGUAUGACUAAUUAAUUUGAUACCCCUAUAGUUGUUGCAGCACUGGAUGCCCCCUUUGUUCUUAUACAAGGGCACCACUGUACUCC
Molecule: long non-coding RNA, 267 nt
Filed under: Nicotiana benthamiana
Lineage: Eukaryota; Viridiplantae; Streptophyta; Magnoliopsida; Solanales; Solanaceae
Description: long non-coding RNA (NBEN_LNC020810)
Source: RNAcentral